This 405-nucleotide ribosomal RNA is filed under the name uncultured bacterium. RNAcentral describes it as "bacterial SSU rRNA". It matches the Rfam family "Bacterial small subunit ribosomal RNA", at positions 357 to 776 of the family's 1533-position model. The record is from RNAcentral.
GGGAAUAUUGGGCAAUGGAGGAAACUCUGACCCAGCAACGCCGCGUGAAUGAUGAAGGUCUUCGGAUUGUAAAGUUCUUUUCUAAGGGAAGAAGAAAGUGACGGUACCUUAGGAAUAAGCCUCGGCUAACUACGUGCCAGCAGCCGCGGUAAUACGUAGGAGGCAAGCGUUAGCCGGAAUGACUGGGCGUAAAGGGUGCGUAGGUGGUUCAGCAAGUUAGUAGCGUAACUCCGGAGCUCAACUUCGGCACUACUACUAAAACUGUUGGACUUGAGUGCAGGAGGGGCAACUGGAAUUUCUAGUGUAGCGGUGGAAUGCGUAGAUAUUAGGAAGAACACCGGUGGCGAAGGCGAGUUGCUGGACUGUAACUGACACUGAGGCACGAAAGCGUGGGGAGCAAACAGG